This 433-nucleotide ribosomal RNA is filed under the name uncultured bacterium. Its description in RNAcentral is "partial 16S ribosomal RNA". It matches the Rfam family "Bacterial small subunit ribosomal RNA", at positions 29 to 507 of the family's 1533-position model. The record is from RNAcentral.
AACGAACGCUGGCGGCAGGCCUAACACAUGCAAGUCGAGCGAGGACUUCGGUCCUAGCGGCGGACGGGGGAGUAACGCGUGGGAACGUGCCCUUUGCUUCGGAAUAGUCCUGGGAAACUUGGAUUAAUACCGGAUGAGCUCUUUGGGGGUAAGAUUUAUCGGCGAAGGAUCGGCCCGCGUUGGAUUAGGUAGUUGGUGGGGUAAUGGCCUACCAAGCCGACGAUCCAUAGCUGGUUUGAGAGGAUGAUCAGCCACACUGGGACUGAGACACGGCCCAGUCUCCUACGGGAGGCAGCAGUGGGGAGUCUUAGGCAAUGGGGCAAACCCUGAUCUAGCCGUGCCGGGUGAGCGAUGAAUGCCUUAGGGUUGUAAAGCUCUUUCAGCUGGGAAGAUAAUGACGGUACCAGCAGAAGAAGCCCCGGCUAACUCCGUG